Prionailurus viverrinus (fishing cat) is the source of this 2094-nucleotide long non-coding RNA. RefSeq lists it as uncharacterized. The record is from RefSeq and is a predicted model, not a curated record. NCBI's taxonomy places the organism in Eukaryota, Metazoa, Chordata, Mammalia, Carnivora, Felidae. The transcript has 3 exons.
GCCCAUUUCUUCACUGGAUUAUUUGUUUUUUGGCACAUUGGGCUCAGAAGACUUCAAGAAGAAGACAUCUACUGAAAAACACACUCUCACCUAGAAGACAAUCUGGAAAUACUUGAUCAAAGGCAUCAAAGAAAGGCAUCAAACCACCGCCAGACAGCAAGAGGAGGAAAGAACAGAGAACUGCAAAACAACCAUAAAACAAGUAACAAAAUGGCAAUAAGUACAUACCUAUCAAUGAUUACUUUGACUGUAAAUGGACUAAUUAAUCAAAAGACAUAGGGUGACUGAAUGGAUAAAAAAGGCCCAUCUAUAUGCUGUCUAUGAGACUCCUUUCAGAUCUAAACACACAGAUUGAAAGAGAUGGAAAAGAAUUUAUGAUGCAGAUGGAAGUGAAAAGAAAACUGGGGUAGCAGUACUUAGAUAAAAUAGACUUUAAAACAAAGACUGUAACAAGAGACAAAGAAGGACACUAUAUAAGAGGAACAAUCCAACAAGAAAAUGUAACAAUUGUAAAUAUUUAUGCACCCAACAUGAGAGUACCCAAAUACAUAAGGCAACUAUUAACAAAAUAGUAAUACAAUAAUAUUAGGGGACUCUAACACCCUACUUACAUCAAUGGACAGAUCAGACAGGAAAAUCAACAAGGAAUCAGUAGCUCUUAAUGAUUGGACCAGGUGGAUCUAACAGAUAUAUUCAGAACAUUCCAUCCUAAAACAGUGGAAUACACAUUCUUUUCAAGUGCACAUGGGACAUUCUCCAGAAUAGAUCACAUGUUAGGCCAUAAGUCUCCCCAAAUUUAGGAAGACUAAAGUCAUACAGUGCAUCUUUUCCAGCCACAGUGGUAUCAAACCAGAAAUCAUCACAAGAGAAAACCUGGAAAGAACACAAAUAUAUGUUACUAAGAAAUCAAAAAUGCAUGGAGACAAGUGAAAAUGAAAACACAACAGUCCAAAAUCUUUGGGAUGCAGCAGAAAGAGGGAAGAUUAUAGCAAUUCAGGCCUACCCUCAAGAGGCAAGAAAAAUCUCAAGCAACCUAACCUCAGACCUAAAAGGAGCUAGAAGAACAAAGUCUAAGGCCAGUGGAAAUAAGGAAAUAAAGAUUAGAGCAGAAAUGAAAUAGACUUAAACAACAGAACAGAUCAACAAAACCAGGAGCUUUUUCUUUGAAAAGAUCAACAAAAUUGAUAAACAUUUAGACAGUUUCAUUUAGAAAAAACCCAAAAAGGACUCAAAUUCAGAAAUGAAAGAACUAUCACCACCACAGAAAUACAAAGGAUUUUAGUUAUUAUGAAAAAGUGUAUGCCAAAUUGGACAACCUAGAAGAAAUGGAUAAAUUCCUAGAAACAUAGCCUCUCAAAACUAAAUCAGGCAUAGGAAAUUUACUAGUUACUGACAAUGAUUGAAUCAGUAAACAAAAAGCUCCCAAAAGUUUGGCACCAUAUAUCUUCUCAGGUGAAUUCUACCAAACAUUUAAAGAAGAGUUAAUAUCUAUUCUUCUUAAACUAUUCCAAAAAAUAGAAGAGGAAGGAUAACUUCUAAAUUCAUUCUAUAAGGCCAGCAUUAUUCUGAUACCAAAACCAGAUAAAGACACCACAAGAAAAGAACUAUAGGCCAAUAUCUCUGAUGAACAUAGAUACAAAAACUCUCAACCAUUAGCAAACCAAAUCCCACAGCAAAAAAUUAAACCGCGAUCAAGUGGGAUUUAAAAAAUUCACCACGAUCAAGUGGGAUUUAUUCCGGAGAUGGAAUGUGGUCCAUUCACAAAUCAAUGUGAUAUAUCACAUCCACAAGACAAAAGAUAAAAGCCAUGUGAUUGUUUCAAUAUAUGUAGAAGAAGCAUUUGACAAAGUACAACAUCCAUUAAGAAAUUCAAAGGUUUAGAGGGAAUAUACCUCAACAUAAUAAAGGCCAUUUGUGGAAAAACCCAAAGCUAACAUCCUACUCACUGGUGUGAGUUUUCCCUCUAACAAAAAAGGAUGUCCACUCACCACUUUUAUUCAACAUAGUACUGGAAGUCCUAGCCACAGCAAUCAGACAAGAAAAUAAAAGGAAUCAAAAUCAGUAUAGAAGUAAAACUUUCACUAGUUGCAGAAG